This 888-nucleotide ribosomal RNA is filed under the name bacterium enrichment culture clone 1c09. RNAcentral's name for it is "bacterial SSU rRNA". It matches the Rfam family "Bacterial small subunit ribosomal RNA", at positions 642 to 1532 of the family's 1533-position model. The record is from RNAcentral.
UAGAGUGCGUCGGGGCAGAAGAAUUCCUGGUGUAGCGGUGAAAUGCGUAGAUAUCAGGAAGAACACCGGUGGCGAAAGCGUUCUGCUAGGCCGCAACUGACACUGAGGGACGAAAGCUAGGGGAGCGAAUGGGAUUAGAUACCCCAGUAGUCCUAGCCGUAAACGAUGGAUACUAGGUGUGGCUUGUAUCGACCCGAGCCGUACCGUAGCUAACGCGUUAAGUAUCCCGCCUGGGGAGUACGCACGCAAGUGUGAAACUCAAAGGAAUUGACGGGGGCCCGCACAAGCGGUGGAGUAUGUGGUUUAAUUCGAUGCAACGCGAAGAACCUUACCAAGACUUGACAUCCUGCGAAUCUCGGCGAAAGCUGAGAGUGCCUUAGGGAGCGCAGAGACAGGUGGUGCAUGGCUGUCGUCAGCUCGUGUCGUGAGAUGUUGGGUUAAGUCCCGCAACGAGCGCAACCCUCGUUUUUAGUUGCCAGUAUUAAGUUGGGCACUCUAGAGAGACUGCCGGUGACAAACCGGAGGAAGGUGAGGAUGACGUCAAGUCAGCAUGCCCCUUACGUCUUGGGCUACACACGUACUACAAUGCUACGGACAAAGGGCAGCAAGCUAGUGAUAGCAAGCAAAUCUCGUAAACCGUAGCUCAGUUCAGAUCGAAGGCUGCAACUCGCCUUCGUGAAGGAGGAAUCGCUAGUAAUUGCAGGUCAGCAUACUGCAGUGAAUUCGUUCCCGGGCCUUGUACACACCGCCCGUCACACCAUGGAAGUUGGUCACGCCCGAAGUCAUUACCCCAACCUUUGGGAGGGGGAUGCCUAAGGUAGGACUGGUGACUGGGGUGAAGUCGUAACAAGGUAGCCGUACCGGAAGGUGCGGCUGGAUCGCCUCCUU